This is a non-coding RNA of Streptomyces sp. IB2014 011-1, 293 nucleotides long. The record is from Rfam. Lineage: Bacteria; Bacillati; Actinomycetota; Actinomycetes; Kitasatosporales; Streptomycetaceae.
CGCGUCGUGGCCGGCUGCGACGUAAAAGCUUUUGAUUACUUGCUUUUGAUUACUGGGGAAAUAACCCAACCCAACCCUGACGGCCGUCGGCUACCCCUGGACGCGCGAGAGCGCGCGUAUGCGCGCGAGGGCGCCGUCACUCACAUGGGUGAACUGUGCCAACCGGGCUGGAUUUUGGCCCUGUUGGCGGGCAUAUGCUCACGCUGACCACAACCGCAGACAUGAGACGGCCCCCGGCCGGGACUGGCAUCCCGACCGAAGGCCUGACCACCGAGGAAGAUAGCGACUUCCCA